This 1378-nucleotide ribosomal RNA is filed under the name metagenome. RNAcentral's name for it is "bacterial LSU rRNA". It matches the Rfam family "Bacterial large subunit ribosomal RNA", at positions 1548 to 2910 of the family's 2925-position model. The record is from RNAcentral.
UUAGGGGCCUGAGACGUUAAGCGGAGCCGUAUUAGGUGAAGUCAAUGAUCCCAUGCUGCCGAGAAAAGCCUCUAGCGAGCUUCGAGCGGCCCGUACCCCAAACCGACACAGGUGGUCAGGUAGAGAAUACCGAGGCGAUCGGGCGAACUAUGGUUAAGGAACUCGGCAAAUUACCCCCGUAACUUCGGGAGAAGGGGGGCCACAGACUGUCAAACUCCAUGCGGGUGGCAGCGGUAGGUGGCCGCAGAGACCAGGGGGAAGCGACUGUUUACUAAAAACACAGGUCCGUGCGAAGUCGUAAGACGAUGUAUACGGACUGACGCCUGCCCGGUGCUGGAACGUUAAGGGGACCGGUUAGUCCGCAAGGGCGAGGCUGAGAACUUAAGCGCCAGUAAACGGCGGUGGUAACUAUAACCAUCCUAAGGUAGCGAAAUUCCUUGUCGGGUAAGUUCCGACCUGCACGAAUGGCGUAACGACUUCCCUACUGUCUCAACCAUAGGCCCGGCGAAAUUGCACUACGAGUAAAGAUGCUCGUUACGCGCGGAAGGACGGAAAGACCCCGGGACCUUCACUAUAGCUUGACAUUGGUACUCGAAUUGAAUUGUGUAGGAUAGGUGGGAGACUAUGAAGCUCGGACGCCAGUUCGGGUGGAGUCAAACUUGAAAUACCACUCUGUUGAAUUUGGGUAUCUAACUUCGGACCGUGAUCCGGUUCAGGGACAGUGUCUGGUGGGUAGUUUAACUGGGGCGGUUGCCUCCUAAAAUGUAACGGAGGCGCCCAAAGGUUCCCUCAGCCUGGUUGGCAAUCAGGUGUUGAGUGCAAGUGCACAAGGGAGCUUGACUGUGAGACUGACAGGUCGAGCAGGGACGAAAGUCGGGACUAGUGAUCCGGCACCUGCAGUGGAAGCGGUGUCGCUCAACGGAUAAAAGGUACCCCGGGGAUAACAGGCUGAUCUUCCCCAAGAGUCCAUAUCGACGGGAUGGUUUGGCACCUCGAUGUCGGCUCGUCGCAUCCUGGGGCUGGAGUAGGUCCCAAGGGUUCGGCUGUUCGCCCAUUAAAGCGGCACGCGAGCUGGGUUUAGAACGUCGUGAGACAGUUCGGUCCCUAUCCUCCGCGCGCGCAGGAGACUUGAGAAGGGCUGUCCCUAGUACGAGAGGACCGGGACGGACGAACCUCUGGUGUGCCAGUUGUCAUGCCAAUGGCACGGCUGGUUAGCUACGUUCGGAAGGGAUAACCGCUGAAAGCAUCUAAGCGGGAAGCCUGCUUCAAGAUGAGGUCUCCCACCCCUUGAGGGUUAAGGCCCCCAGCUAGACCACUGGGUUGAUAGGCCAGAAGUGUAAGCCUGGUAACAGGUUCAGCCGACUGGUACUAAUAGGUC